Molecule: ribosomal RNA, 1346 nt
Filed under: uncultured bacterium
Lineage: Bacteria
Description: partial 16S ribosomal RNA
Rfam family: Bacterial small subunit ribosomal RNA
Source: RNAcentral
GACGAACGCUGGCGGCGUGCUUAACACAUGCAAGUCGAACGGAAAGGCCCUGCUUUUGUGGGGUGCUCGAGUGGCGAACGGGUGAGUAACACGUGAGUAACCUGCCCUUGACUUUGGGAUAACUUCAGGAAACUGGGGCUAAUACCGGAUAGGAGCUCCUGCUGCAUGGUGGGGGUUGGAAAGUUUCGGCGGUUGGGGAUGGACUCGCGGCUUAUCAGCUUGUUGGUGGGGUAGUGGCUUACCAAGGCUUUGACGGGUAGCCGGCCUGAGAGGGUGACCGGCCACAUUGGGACUGAGAUACGGCCCAGACUCCUACGGGAGGCAGCAGUGGGGAAUAUUGCACAAUGGGCGGAAGCCUGAUGCAGCAACGCCGCGUGCGGGAUGACGGCCUUCGGGUUGUAAACCGCUUUCGCCUGUGACGAAGCGUGAGUGACGGUAAUGGGUAAAGAAGCACCGGCUAACUACGUGCCAGCAGCCGCGGUGAUACGUAGGGUGCGAGCGUUGUCCGGAUUUAUUGGGCGUAAAGGGCUCGUAGGUGGUUGAUCGCGUCGGAAGUGUAAUCUUGGGGCUUAACCCUGAGCGUGCUUUCGAUACGGGUUGACUUGAGGAAGGUAGGGGAGAAUGGAAUUCCUGGUGGAGCGGUGGAAUGCGCAGAUAUCAGGAGGAACACCAGUGGCGAAGGCGGUUCUCUGGGCCUUUCCUGACGCUGAGGAGCAAAAGCGUGGGGAGCGAACAGGCUUAGAUACCCUGGUAGUCCACGCUGUAAACGGUGGGUACUAGGUGUGGGGUCCAUUCCACGGGUUCCGUGCCGUAGCUAACGCUUUAAGUACCCCGCCUGGGGAGUACGGCCGCAGGGCUAAAACUCAAAGGAAUUGACGGGGCCCCGCACAAGCGGCGGAGCAUGCGGAUUAAUUCGAUGCAACGCGUAGAACCUUACCUGGGUUUGACAUGGAUCGGGAGUGCUCAGAGAUGGGUGUGCCUCUUUUGGGGUCGGUUCACAGGUGGUGCAUGGCUGUCGUCAGCUCGUGUCGUGAGAUGUUGGGUUAAGUCCCGCAACGAGCGCAACCCUUGUUCACUGUUGCCAGCACGUUAUGGUGGGGACUCAGUGGAGACCGCCGGGGUCAACUCGGAGGAAGGUGGGGAUGACGUCAAGUCAUCAUGCCCCUUAUGUCCAGGGCUUCACGCAUGCUACAAUGGCUGGUACAGAGAGUGGCGAGCCUGUGAGGGUGAGCGAAUCUCGGAAAGCCGGUCUCAGUUCGGAUUGGGGUCUGCAACUCGACCUCAUGAAGUCGGAGUCGCUAGUAAUCGCAGAUCAGCAACGCUGCGGUGAAUACGUUCCCGGGGCU